AGAGUUUGAUCCUGGCUCAGGAUUAACGCUGGCGGCGUGCCUAAUACAUGCAAGUCGAAUGGUAGUAGCAAUACAAACCAUGGCGAACGGGUGAGUAACACGUAGGCAACCUGACUUUAAGACGAGGAUAACCGUUGGAAACGACGGAUAAUACUGGAUAGGACAUCAGAAAGGGCAUCCUUAGAUGUUUAAAGGUUAUUAUGCCACUUAGAGAGGGGCCUGCGGCGCAUUAGCUAGUUGGUGAGAUAACAGCCCACCAAGGCGAUGAUGCGUAGCCGGACUGAGAGGUUGAACGGCCACAAUGGAACUGAGAACGGUCCAUACUCCUACGGGAGGCAGCAGUAGGGAAUUUUCGGCAAUGGGCGCAAGCCUUGACCGAGCAACGCCGCGUGAACGAAGAAGUUAUUCGUAAUGUAAAGUUCUUUUAUCUGGGGAAGAAAAAACAAAUUGACGGUACCAGAUGAAUAAGCUCCGGCUAACUACGUGCCAGCCGCUGC
This 497-nucleotide ribosomal RNA is filed under the name uncultured bacterium. Its description in RNAcentral is "bacterial SSU rRNA". It matches the Rfam family "Bacterial small subunit ribosomal RNA", at positions 8 to 518 of the family's 1533-position model. The record is from RNAcentral.